GCCGGGGUGGCGGAACCGGUAUACGCGGCCGGCUUAAACCCGGCUGCCCGCAAGGGCUUGAGGGUUCGAAUCCCUCCCCCGGCA
RNAcentral lists this transfer RNA (84 nucleotides) under Solirubrobacterales bacterium. Its description in RNAcentral is "tRNA-Leu". It matches the Rfam family "tRNA". From Rfam's summary of the family: Transfer RNA (tRNA) molecules are approximately 80 nucleotides in length. Their secondary structure includes four short double-helical elements and three loops (D, anti-codon, and T loops). Lineage: Bacteria; Bacillati; Actinomycetota; Thermoleophilia; Solirubrobacterales. The record is from RNAcentral.